AACAAAAACAUGUCCUUUAGAAUAGAAUUUAAGGUUUAACCUGCCCAUUGAGGAAUUAAAAGGCCGCAGUAUUUUGACUGUGCAAAGGUAGCAUAAUCAUUAGUUUUUUAAUUGAAAGCUUGUAUGAAUGGUUGGACGAGAUAUAAACUGUCUUUAAAUUAUAGUUAGAAUUUAAUUUUUAAGUUAAAAAGCUUAAAUAUAUUUAAAAGACGAUAAGACCCUAUAGAUCUUUAUAAAUUAAUAUAAAUAAUUUUUAUGGAUUAAAAAUUUUUAUAUAUAUUUAUUUAUUUUAUUGGGGUAAUAAAAAGAUUAAAAAAAUUCUUUUUUUUAUUUACAUAGAUAAAUGAUUUUUAUGAUCCAGUUUUAUUGAUUAUAAGAUUAAGUUACCUUAGGGAUAACAGCGUAAUUUUUUUAAAGAGUUCUUAUCGAUAAAAAAGUUUGCGACCUCGAUGUUG
RNAcentral lists this ribosomal RNA (455 nucleotides) under Uvarus rivulorum. Its description in RNAcentral is "partial 16S ribosomal RNA". It matches the Rfam family "Bacterial large subunit ribosomal RNA", at positions 1806 to 2534 of the family's 2925-position model. Lineage: Eukaryota; Metazoa; Arthropoda; Insecta; Coleoptera; Dytiscidae. The record is from RNAcentral.